RNAcentral lists this long non-coding RNA (600 nucleotides) under Homo sapiens (human). RNAcentral describes it as "HSALNT0274254". Lineage: Eukaryota; Metazoa; Chordata; Mammalia; Primates; Hominidae. The record is from RNAcentral.
GGGAAACCUCGAUGAACAAACACCGGGAGAGUGUUUCUGCAGAUCCUGCUUUGUGACUUCGAGUGAAGUGUGGAAGCGCUGGAAGCACUUAGACCCUGCCUGAGGAGGCCAUGAGAACCGUCAAGAAGUUCAUGGACUCAGGAGGACGUCGUGAGCAGUGCUGAGGUCAUGGAAUGUGGGCUGGGACCUUGUGUUUGGUGACAUCCUUCCCAGGCGGAGGGUACCUCGGAGCACACUCUGCAGCCUCCGGCUCUCCCUCCUAAGUCCACCUGCCCGGCCGAUUGGGCUGUGUGGUCACUGUCCUCAAGACCUUAUGUGCCAUGAGGGCUCAGAGCCCUGAGCCUCAGCACAGGAAGUGCCACCCAGGCAGCCAACACCUGCUCAGCGGGCGGAUGGCCUUGCCGACUCGGCUUUGCUCCCGGGAGCCUCCUGGAGAAGAAGCCACAGGGAGACGGACAGCCCUGGGCGGCUCCAGCUUGCCAGCUCCACAUCCAAGGUCCUCCUUCUGGGGUGGGGUUACAAUCUGUUCAAAGCAUAUGCCCAGAAUAACAUUUUUGAAAGUCUUUAAAAAUGGGGUAAAGCUGACGUACCACGAAAGAC